Molecule: ribosomal RNA, 433 nt
Filed under: uncultured bacterium
Lineage: Bacteria
Description: partial 16S ribosomal RNA
Rfam family: Bacterial small subunit ribosomal RNA
Source: RNAcentral
GCGCACGCUGGCGGCAGGCCUCACCCCUGCCAGUCGCACGAACCUUUCGGGGUUAGUGGCGGCCGGGUGAGUAACACGUGGGAACGUGCCUUUAGGUUCGGAAUAACUCAGGGAAACUUGUGCUAAUACCGAAUGUGCCCUUCGGGGGAAAGAUUUUUCGCCUUUAGAGCGGCCCGCGUCUGAUUAGCUAGUUGGUUGAGGUAAUGGCUCACCAAGGCGACGAUCAGUAGCUGGUCUGAGAGGAUGAUCAGCCACAUUGGGACUGAGACACGGCCCAAACUCCUACGGGAGGCAGCAGUGGGGAAUCUUGAGCAAUGGGCGAAAGACUGACGCAGCCAUGCCGCGUGAAUGAUGAAGGUCUUAGGAUUGUAAAAUUCUUUCACCGGGGACGAUAAUGACGGUACCCGGAGAAGAAGCCCCGGCUAACUUCGUG